This 24-nucleotide non-coding RNA is filed under the name Mus musculus (house mouse). Lineage: Eukaryota; Metazoa; Chordata; Mammalia; Rodentia; Muridae. The record is from RNAcentral.
UGAAUGCACACAUCUAUAUGGAUC